GACGUUCAACCGCAAAAGAAGCAGAGGGGGCUUAGUGGUGGGGUGACUGCGUACCUUUUGUAUAAUGGGUCAGCGACUUAUAUUCUGUAGCAAGGUUAACCGUAUAGGGGAGCCGGAGGGAAACCGAGUCUUAAUUGGGCGUUAAGUUGCAGGGUAUAGACCCGAAACCCGGUGAUCUAGCCAUGGGCAGGUUGAAGGUUGGGUAACACUAACUGGAGGACCGAACCGACUAAUGUUGAAAAAUUAGCGGAUGACCUGUGGCUGGGGGUGAAAGGCCAAUCAAACCGGGAGAUAGCUGGUUCUCCCCGAAAGCUAUUUAGGUAGCGCCUCGUGAAUUCAUCUCCGGGGGUAGAGCACUGUUUCGGCUAGGGGGCCAUCCCGGCUUACCAACCCGAUGCAAACUGCGAAUACCGGAGAAUGUUAUCACGGGAGACACACGGCGGGUGCUAACGUCCGUCGUGAAGAGGGAAACAACCCAGACCGCCAGCUAAGGUCCCAAAGUCAUGGUUAAGUGGGAAACGAUGUGGGAAGGCCCAGACAGCCAGGAUGUUGGCUUAGAAGCAGCCAUCAUUUAAAGAAAGCGUAAUAGCUCACUGGUCGAGUCGGCCUGCGCGGAAGAUGUAACGGGGCUAAACCAU
This 638-nucleotide ribosomal RNA is filed under the name Salmonella enterica. RNAcentral describes it as "partial 23S ribosomal RNA". It matches the Rfam family "Bacterial large subunit ribosomal RNA", at positions 568 to 1190 of the family's 2925-position model. Lineage: Bacteria; Pseudomonadati; Pseudomonadota; Gammaproteobacteria; Enterobacterales; Enterobacteriaceae. The record is from RNAcentral.